Molecule: ribosomal RNA, 343 nt
Filed under: uncultured Glomus
Lineage: Eukaryota; Fungi; Glomeromycota; Glomeromycetes; Glomerales; Glomeraceae
Description: SSU rRNA
Rfam family: Eukaryotic small subunit ribosomal RNA
Source: RNAcentral
AGCAGCCGCGGUAAUUCCAGCUCCAAUAGCGUAUAUUAAAGUUGUUGCAGUUAAAAAGCUCGUAGUUGAAUUUCGGGAUCAAUAUAUCGGUCGUGCCUUGGUACGUACUGGUAUCAUUGAUUUCUCCCUUCUGACGAAUCAUGAUGUCAUUAAUUUGGUGUUAUGAGGAGUUAGGACUGUUACUUUGAAAAAUUAGAGUGUUUAAAGCAGGCAUUAGCUUGAAUACAUUAGCAUGGAAUAAUGAAAUAGGACGUUUGACCCUAUUUUGUUGGUUUCUAGGAUCGACGUAAUGAUUAAUAGGGAUAGUUGGGGCAUUAGUAUUCAAUUGUCAGAGGUGAAAUUC